AGAGUUUGAUCCUGGCUCAGAGUGAACGCUGGCGGUAGGCCUAACACAUGCAAGUCGAACGGCAGCACAGGAGAGCUUGCUCUCUGGGUGGCGAGUGGCGGACGGGUGAGGAAUACAUCGGAAUCUACCUUUUCGUGGGGGAUAACGUAGGGAAACUUACGCUAAUACCGCAUACGACCUACGGGUGAAAGUGGGGGACCGCAAGGCCUCACGCGAUUAGAUGAGCCGAUGUCCGAUUAGCUAGUUGGCGGGGUAAUGGCCCACCAAGGCGACGAUCGGUAGCUGGUCUGAGAGGAUGAUCAGCCACACUGGAACUGAGGCACGGUCCAGACUCCUACGGGAGGCAGCAGUGGGGAAUAUUGGACAAUGGGCGCAAGCCUGAUCCAGCCAUACCGCGUGGGUGAAGAAGGCCUUCGGGUUGUAAAGCCCUUUUGUUGGGAAAGAAAUCCUGUCGAUUAAUACUCGGUGGGGAUGACGGUACCCAAAGAAUAAGCACCGGCUAACUUCGUGCCAGCAGCCGCGGUAAUACGAAGGGUGCAAGCGUUACUCGGAAUUACUGGGCGUAAAGCGUGCGUAGGUGGUGGUUUAAGUCUGCUGUGAAAGCCCUGGGCUCAACCUGGGAAUUGCAGUGGAUACUGGAUCACUAGAGUGUGGUAGAGGGAUGCGGAAUUUCUGGUGUAGCAGUGAAAUGCGUAGAGAUCAGAAGGAACAUCCGUGGCGAAGGCGGCAUCCUGGGCCAACACUGACACUGAGGCACGAAAGCGUGGGGAGCAAACAGGAUUAGAUACCCUGGUAGUCCA
RNAcentral lists this ribosomal RNA (800 nucleotides) under uncultured bacterium. RNAcentral's name for it is "bacterial SSU rRNA". It matches the Rfam family "Bacterial small subunit ribosomal RNA", at positions 8 to 797 of the family's 1533-position model. The record is from RNAcentral.